This is an RNA transcript of Carlito syrichta (Philippine tarsier), 1486 nucleotides long. It is a transcript of the gene named stromelysin-2-like, with no coding region annotated. Lineage: Eukaryota; Metazoa; Chordata; Mammalia; Primates; Tarsiidae. The record is from RefSeq and is a predicted model, not a curated record. The transcript is spliced from 11 exons.
AUGAAGCAUCUUGGCAUUCUUGCACUGUUGUGUCUGCCGGUCUGCUUGGCUUAUCCACUGAAGGAAGGAAGCGAAGGAAGAAGUGGACCCCAACACAGAUCUUGCCCUGCAGUACCUAGAAAACUACUACGACUUCGCAAAAGACGUGAAAAAAAUCUGUUGGAAGAAAGGACAGUGGUGCUGUUGUCCAAAAAAUUUGAGAAAUGCAGAAGCUCCUUGGGCUGGAGGUGAUGGGGACUCCAACACUCUGGAGGUGAUGCACAAGCCCAGGUGUGGGGUUCUUGACGUUGGUUACUUUGGCACCUUUCCUGGGAUGCCAAAGUGGAGGAGAAACCACCUCACCUACAAGUAAUGGAUUGUGAAUUAUACACCGGAUUUGCCAAGAAAUGCUGUUGAUUCCGCCAUCGAGAAUGCUCUGAAAGUCCUUCAGAGGUGAUGCCGCUCACAUUCCCCAGGCUGUAUGAAGGAGCGGCUGACAUAAAGAUCUCUUUUGCAGUUGAACAGAGAGACUUUUUCUCUUUUGAGGGACCAGAGUACAGUUUGGUGCGUGCCUAUCCACCUGGACCUGGGUUUUAUGGAGACGUUCACUUUGAUCAUGACAAAAUGGACAAAGGAUGCACCAGGGACUAAUUUAUUCCUCAUUGCUACUCAUGAACUUGGCCACUCCCUGGGUCUGUUUCACUCGACCAACACGAAAGUUUUAGUGUACCCACUCUUCAACUCCUUCACGGACCUGUCUCAGUUCCGCCUUUCUCAAGAUGACGUGGAUGGCAUUCAGUCCUGCUACAGACUGCCCCCUGCCUCCCCUGAGGACCCCCGGGUGCCCACGGAGUCUGUCCCUCCAGGACCUGAGACACCAGCCAUGUGUGAUCCUGCUUUGCCCAUUGAUGCUGUCACCACGCUGAGGGGAGAAGACCUGUUCUUUAAAGACAGAUAUUUUCGGCGCGGAUUCCAUUGGACCCCUGAGGAGGUUCAUUUGAUUUCUGCAUUUUGGGCCUCUCUUCCAUCAGAUUUGGAUGCUGCGUAUAAAGCUAAUAGCAAGGAUACCGUUUUUAUUUUUAAAAGAAAUAAGUUGUGGGCAACCAGAGGAAAUGAGAUACAAGAAGGUUACCCCAGAGGCAUCCACACUCUGGGUUUCCCUCCGACCGUUAGGAAAAUUGAUGCAGCUGUUUCUGAGAAGGAAAAUAAGAAAACAUGCUUCUCUGUAGAAGACAAAUACUGGACAUUUGAUGAAAAUAGCCAGUUCAUAGAACAAGGCUUCCCCAGACUAAUAGCUGAUGACUUUCCAGGAGUUGAGCAAAGGUCGAUGCUGUGUUACGGGCAUUUGCCAUCACCUUUCAGGCCACUGUAUGAUGGGUCAUCACAGUUUGAGUCUGGCCCUAAUGCUAGGAUGGUGGCACAUAUAUUGAAGAGUAACAGCUGGUUACAUUGUUAGGCGAGACUGAGAGAAGAUGCGCAUGGGCGUUUGAAAUGAAUCUAAGAGUCA